CAAUAGCGUAUAUUAAAGUUGUUGCGGUUAAAAAGCUCGUAGUUGGAUUUCUGCCGAGGACGUCCGGUCCGCCCUCUGGGUGUGUACAUGGUACGGCCUGGGCAUCUUCUUGGAAAACGUAUCUGCACUUGACUGUGUGGUGCGGUAUCCAGGUCUUUUACUUUGAGGAAAUUAGAGUGUUUCAAGCAGGCCUACGCCUUGAAUACAUUAGCAUGGAAUAAUAAGAUAGGACCUCGGUUCUAUUUUGUUGGUUUCUAGAGCUGAGGUAAUGAUUAAUAGGGGUAGUUGGGGGCUUUCGUAUUUAACUGUCAGAGGUGAAAUUCUUGGAUUUUUGGAAGACGAACUACUGCGAAAGCAUUUACCAAGGAUGUUUUCAUUAA
Molecule: ribosomal RNA, 380 nt
Filed under: uncultured eukaryote
Lineage: Eukaryota
Description: partial 18S ribosomal RNA
Rfam family: Eukaryotic small subunit ribosomal RNA
Source: RNAcentral